CUUGGUCAUUUAGAGGAAGUAAAAGUCGUAACAAGGUCUCCGUUGGUGAACCAGCGGAGGGAUCAUUACCGAGUUUACAACUCCCAAACCCCUGUGAACAUACCAAUUGUUGCCUCGGCGGAUCAGCCCGCUCCCGGUAAAACGGGACGGCCCGCCAGAGGACCCCUAAACUCUGUUUCUAUAUGUAACUUCUGAGUAAAACCAUAAAUAAAUCAAAACUUUCAACAACGGAUCUCUUGGUUCUGGCAUCGAUGAAGAACGCAGCAAAAUGCGAUAAGUAAUGUGAAUUGCAGAAUUCAGUGAAUCAUCGAAUCUUUGAACGCACAUUGCGCCCGCCAGUAUUCUGGCGGGCAUGCCUGUUCGAGCGUCAUUUCAACCCUCAAGCCCCCGGGUUUGGUGUUGGGGAUCGGCGAGCCCUUGCGGCAAGCCGGCCCCGAAAUCUAGUGGCGGUCUCGCUGCAGCCUCCAUUGCGUAGUAGCUAACACCUCGCAACUGGAACGCGGCGCGGCCAAGCCGUUAAACCCCCAACUUCUGAAUGUUGACCUCGGAUCAGGUAGGAAUACCCGCUGAACUUAAGCAUAUCAAUAAGCGGAG
RNAcentral lists this ribosomal RNA (594 nucleotides) under uncultured fungus. Its description in RNAcentral is "eukaryotic LSU rRNA". The stretch from base 217 to 370 matches the Rfam family "5.8S ribosomal RNA". Lineage: Eukaryota; Fungi. The record is from RNAcentral.